This 600-nucleotide ribosomal RNA is filed under the name uncultured bacterium. Its description in RNAcentral is "bacterial SSU rRNA". The stretch from base 1 to 435 matches the Rfam family "Bacterial small subunit ribosomal RNA", at positions 98 to 546 of the family's 1533-position model. The record is from RNAcentral.
GCGCACGGGUGAGUAACGCGUAGAUCAUCUGCCCCUAUCACUGACAUAACAGUUCUAACGGACUUGCUAAUAUCAGAUGAGGUGAGUAAUCACCAAAGUUUCGACGGAUAGGGAUGAGUCUGCGUCUGAUUAGGUAGCUUGGUGAGGUAACGGCUCACCAAGCCGACGAUCAGUAACUGGUCUGAGAGGACGAACAGUCACACUGGAACUGAGACACGGUCCAGACUCCUACGGGAGGCAGCAGUGAGGAAUAUUGCACAAUGGGAGGAAUCCUGAUGCAGCGACGCCGCGUGCGGGAUGAAGGGGCUUAGCCUCGUAAACCGCUGUCGGAGGGGACGAAUGGUACAUUUGAUGUACUGAGACGGUACCCUCAAAGGAAGGAUCGGUAAUACGUGCCAGCAGCCGCGGUAAUACGUAGGAUCCGGAGCGUUGUCCCGGGAAUUUACUGGGGUGGUCAAAGGGUUGCGUUAGGGCGGGAACUUGUUGGCGUCCCGAAGGUUGGAAAUUUCCCCAANGGGGGCUUUUAAACCCGGGUGGGGGGGUUGGCCUUUUGGGANUAACACGGGGGCAAAAGGNCCCUUGGGAGUUUGGAAAAAAAAA